AACGAACGCUGGCGGCAUGCCUAACACAUGCCAGUCGAACGAAGUCUUCGGACUUAGUGGCGCACGGGUGCGUAACGCGUGGGAAUCUGCCCUUGGGUACGGAAUAACUCAGAGAAAUUUGUGCUAAUACCGUAUAAUGUCUUCGGACCAAAGAUUUAUCGCCCAAGGAUGAGCCCGCGUAAGAUUAGCUAGUUGGUGGGGUAAAAGCCUACCAAGGCGACGAUCUUUAGCUGGUCUGAGAGGAUGAUCAGCCACACUGGGACUGAGACACGGCCCAGACUCCUACGGGAGGCAGCAGUGGGGAAUAUUGGACAAUGGGCGAAAGCCUGAUCCAGCAAUGCCGCGUGAGUGAUGAAGGCCCUAGGGUUGUAAAGCUCUUUUACCAGGGAUGAUAAUGACAGUACCUGGAGAAUAAGCGCCGGCUAACUCCGUG
RNAcentral lists this ribosomal RNA (433 nucleotides) under uncultured bacterium. Its description in RNAcentral is "partial 16S ribosomal RNA". It matches the Rfam family "Bacterial small subunit ribosomal RNA", at positions 29 to 507 of the family's 1533-position model. The record is from RNAcentral.